ACAUUGGUGGUUCAGUGGUAGAACUCUCACCUUCCAUUCAGGAAACCCGGCUUCAAUUUCCGGCCAAUGCG
RNAcentral lists this transfer RNA (71 nucleotides) under Loxodonta africana (African savanna elephant). It matches the Rfam family "tRNA". Rfam says of the family: Transfer RNA (tRNA) molecules are approximately 80 nucleotides in length. Their secondary structure includes four short double-helical elements and three loops (D, anti-codon, and T loops). Lineage: Eukaryota; Metazoa; Chordata; Mammalia; Proboscidea; Elephantidae. The record is from Rfam by way of RNAcentral.